Long non-coding RNA from Syzygium oleosum, 362 nucleotides. RefSeq lists it as uncharacterized. Lineage: Eukaryota; Viridiplantae; Streptophyta; Magnoliopsida; Myrtales; Myrtaceae. The record is from RefSeq and is a predicted model, not a curated record. The transcript has 2 exons.
AGCUUUUUUGACACGCCUAAUAAUAACUCAUAGUUUCUUCUUCUCUUUUCCAGCUUGACCGUAACCGCAUCGCCACGUGCAAUGCAUUCAUUUAUUGAGCAAAGCGGAAUAUUCCAUACUUGGAUAAGCUCCUUUAGUUUCCGGCUACCAAAAUGGACUAUUUCCAACAAGUACAGCUUAAGUAGACUUGUCAAACAGGUGGAUUUUGUCAGGUUUGGCUAGGUAAAAAAUUAGACUGAUUUAAAUUGAUCGGUUUAAUCCAUAUUGACCUAUUUUUAUGUGAUAUAAUUUUAGUAACCCAUAGUUGAUCAGAACCGAAUCCAUACCCGAGCUCUAAAUUCUUAGCAAUUUUAUCUUUCCAA